Molecule: microRNA, 23 nt
Filed under: Strongylocentrotus purpuratus (purple sea urchin)
Lineage: Eukaryota; Metazoa; Echinodermata; Echinoidea; Camarodonta; Strongylocentrotidae
Description: Spu-Mir-76_3p (mature (guide))
Source: RNAcentral
UUCGUUGUCAACGAAACCUGCGG